UACGUAGGGGGCAAGCGUUGUCCGGAAUCAUUGGGCGUAAAGAGCGUGUAGGCGGCCAGAUAAGUCCGCUGUGAAAACUCGAGGCUCAACUUCGAGCUGUCGGUGGAAACUUUCUGGCUAGAGUCCGGAAGAGGAGAAUGGAAUUCCUGGUGUAGCGGUGAAAUGCGCAGAUAUCAGGAAGAACACCCGUGGCGAAGGCGGCUCUCUGGGGCGGUACUGACGCUGAGACGCGAAAGCGUGGGGAGCGAACAGG
Molecule: ribosomal RNA, 253 nt
Filed under: uncultured bacterium
Lineage: Bacteria
Description: partial 16S ribosomal RNA
Rfam family: Bacterial small subunit ribosomal RNA
Source: RNAcentral